GCCAGACAACGAUAGGAGCUGUUGUUGCUGCCUGCACGUAACAGAUCUUGUCUUCCGUUGCUACGUCUACACCCAAGAGCUACCAGGUGCUACCGCUCUUAGUAUUUUUUGCUCCGCAUAUUAAUUUUGUCAAGAAUUUUUCUAUCGGCUUGUACUGCUUUGUGUACACAUAUUUAUCUAUUCAUGGCAUCCAUGAAGUACGAUCUUUCGCUGCUCGACCGCGAC
RNAcentral lists this long non-coding RNA (225 nucleotides) under Hordeum vulgare. RNAcentral describes it as "long non-coding RNA (HVUL_LNC007433)". The record is from RNAcentral. Lineage: Eukaryota; Viridiplantae; Streptophyta; Magnoliopsida; Poales; Poaceae.